Molecule: ribosomal RNA, 253 nt
Filed under: uncultured bacterium
Lineage: Bacteria
Description: partial 16S ribosomal RNA
Rfam family: Bacterial small subunit ribosomal RNA
Source: RNAcentral
UACGUAGGUGGCAAGCGUUGUCCGGAAUCACUGGGCGUAAAGCGCGCGCAGGCGGCGAUCUACGUCUGGGGUGAAAGCCCGGAGCUCAACUCCGGGACUGCCUUGGAUACGGGAUCGCUUGAGGAUUGGAGAGGCAAGGGGAAUUCCACGUGUAGCGGUGAAAUGCGUAGAGAUGUGGAGGAACACCUGUGGCGAAGGCGCCUUGCUGGCCAAUUACUGACGCUGAGGCGCGAGAGCGUGGGGAGCAAACAGG